GAGUUUGAUCGUGGCUCAGGACGAACGCUGGCGGCGUGCUUAACACAUGCAAGUCGAGCGAGAAUCUACUGAAGAGUUUUCGGACAAUGGAAGUAGAGGAAAGUGGCGGACGGGUGAGUAACGCGUGAGGAACCUGCCUUGAAGAGGGGGACAACAGUUGGAAACGACUGCUAAUACCGCAUGAUGCAUAAGGGUCGCAUGAGUUCUUAUGCCAAAGAUUUAUCGCUUCAAGAUGGCCUCGCGUCUGAUUAGCUAGUUGGCGGGGUAACGGCCCACCAAGGCGACGAUCAGUAGCCGGACUGAGAGGUUGAACGGCCACGAUUGGGACUGAGAUACGGCCCAGACUCCUACGGAGGCAGCAGUGGGG
This 367-nucleotide ribosomal RNA is filed under the name uncultured microorganism. Its description in RNAcentral is "bacterial SSU rRNA". It matches the Rfam family "Bacterial small subunit ribosomal RNA", at positions 9 to 359 of the family's 1533-position model. The record is from RNAcentral.